Molecule: transfer RNA, 75 nt
Filed under: Ancylomarina euxina
Lineage: Bacteria; Pseudomonadati; Bacteroidota; Bacteroidia; Marinilabiliales; Marinifilaceae
Description: Ancylomarina sp. M1P tRNA-Thr
Rfam family: tRNA
About the family: Transfer RNA (tRNA) molecules are approximately 80 nucleotides in length. Their secondary structure includes four short double-helical elements and three loops (D, anti-codon, and T loops).
Source: RNAcentral
GCCGUUGUAGCUCAGGGGUAGAGCGUUUCCUUGGUAAGGAAGAGGUCAUGAGUUCAAUUCUCAUCAAUGGCUCAA